This 293-nucleotide ribosomal RNA is filed under the name uncultured prokaryote. Its description in RNAcentral is "partial 16S ribosomal RNA". It matches the Rfam family "Archaeal small subunit ribosomal RNA", at positions 455 to 747 of the family's 1478-position model. The record is from RNAcentral.
GUGUCAGCCGCCGCGGUAAUACCGGCAGCCCGAGUGAUGACCGCUAUUAUUGGGCCUAAAGCGUCCGUAGCUGGCCACGCAAGUUCGUCGGGAAAUCUGCGCGCUUAACGCGCAGGCGUCCGACGGAAACUGUAUGGCUUGGGACCGGAAGACCAGAGGGGUACGUCCGGGGUAGGAGUGAAAUCCCGUAAUCCUGGACGGACCACCGGUGGCGAAAGCGCCUCUGGAAGACGGAUCCGACAGUGAGGGACGAAAGCUAGGGUCUCGAACCGGAUUAGAAACCCUGGUAGUCC